GCUAUUAGAAGCCUCUUCAGAUUUAAAGGUUUGUACUGGGCAUAACAAAUUAACCAACAACCGAAUUACGAAGGUCAAAGUUCUUGAAUUACAGACCAAAAAACAAGCAAACAAAGAAUAAAUAGAGGAUUGCCAGGGUCUAAGAGAGAUCAAUUGCAAGACACUUUCACUCGAUUUUUCACUCAGUAAUAGCAUGACUGAAUAAGAAGUUCAAAACUGGAGCAGUAGCAGUUUCACUCCAUUUUUCCUUUCAGUAUCGUUGGACACGAGCUCCUUGAGAAAGCUUGCGUGGUCAGUAGCAUGUUGGUCAUGCAAUUGUGUCAACGUGGAGAAGGAGCCUGCAGGUCAGCCCGCAACAGGGUAACUUCUCUGCACUACAACAAAUCAAAAGCAGUAAAUGUACAUAUUUUGGACAUACAAGCAUAAUGGAAAUUUGCAGAAAUAACAUGGUGUUCCUGAUAAGUACUGAUGCUUUGGGAAUUUUUGAAGAGAGAAAAGAACAGAGAAAAGUACUGAUGCUUCAGAAUUUAUCAAAAUACUUGGCCACCAAAAACCCCAUAAUUUUUUUCCUGAAAACACAACACAAUUUUGGAAUGCAUCAGUACACGCUGACAUUUCGAGUUUUCAGAAGAAAUCAAACUUGCUAAUUAGUACUCGAUGUACUUACUGAGACCACACAUAUCCUAAAAUUUUAAUCAUGCACUUAUGAGUAUAGAUCAAAUUUGCCACUUGGGAAAUUAUGCUCUCCAAAACAUAGUAAAUUCUCAUUUCAACGGUUUUCAGUUACAUGUGCAACAUGAAAGGAAAACAUAACUGACUGUGAAUAGCACUCAAGCAAAAAAAAUUGUAGGGUGUUCAGCGGUAUAUUAUUCAACAUAAAAAAUUGAACGUUCAACAUUCACUAUCACUGCACUAGAACUAAACUUCAGAUAGAAAACAGAGGUAACAAUUCCAGCAAUUGGUAGCUGCGUAGUAGAGGGCAUGCAGCAGCAUCAACAAGAAAGGCUGCGGCUGUGCCGGACAGACGUAGGUGCAGUAGCAGCUUGCAGCAAGGAGCGGCCUGCACUCAGCUCCUUGAGCGACCGGCCACAAAACAAGAAGUUGUACUAUUGAGCAAGAGAACUUUCUACAAAAAUCCCAAAGCAUUAUAAAAAUAUCCUAGAGAACUUUUCUACAAAAUUGAUUAACUAAGUAACAGCAUGGUGCACAUUCUCAAGCAGAACCACAAGCACUUGUUUGUGCUAUAUGAAGAAGAUGAAAACACAAAGGAAAUCGGACUCACCACUGGGAAGUAGAUGAACUGAAAAGCAUACAAAAUAUGAACUUGUGCAUCUUAUUUUUAUUGCAGC
Molecule: long non-coding RNA, 1349 nt
Filed under: Triticum aestivum (bread wheat)
Lineage: Eukaryota; Viridiplantae; Streptophyta; Magnoliopsida; Poales; Poaceae
Description: long non-coding RNA (TAES_LNC013366)
Source: RNAcentral